UAAGAUGGCCAAAAAGGAAACUUAUUAUAUUAAAACAAAAAUCACACACACACAAGGUUGUGUGUGUGCGUACGGUUGCACAAGAGAAAGGGGGAAGAAGGGUAUGAACCCUAACCACAAGAGAAUCCAGCAAUUGAAGGUGUUAUGGAGCAAGAAUCGAAUGCAUGAACUCGUUUUCUUGAUGAUCUAGCCCUAGCAAACAUGUGGAUAGGAACCCCAAUUGACAUGGACUUAAGUAUGGAAAGCUAACGGACCAUGAGGAAAGGGGAAGCUUUGCACAAACUUGGACGCACGAGGUUGUACAAAUCACAGAUUAUCACCAUGAGGUGUAGCGAUUGAAGACCGAGUCACGAGAUAGAUUGUACGGGAAUGUUGAUUAUGUA
Molecule: long non-coding RNA, 383 nt
Organism: Helianthus annuus (common sunflower)
Lineage: Eukaryota; Viridiplantae; Streptophyta; Magnoliopsida; Asterales; Asteraceae
Exons: 3
Source: RefSeq, a predicted model, not a curated record